CCUACGGGGGGCUGCAGUGGGGAAUUUUGGACAAUGGGGGCAACCCUGAUCCAGCCAUGCCGCGUGCGGGAAGAAGGCCUUCGGGUUGUAAACCGCUUUUGUCAGGAGAGAAAUCUCUUGGGCUAAUACCCUGAGAGGAUGACGGUACCUGAAGAAUAAGCACCGGCUAACUACGUGCCAGCAGCCGCGGUAAUACGUAGGGUGCAAGCGUUAAUCGGAAUUACUGGAGGCAAAUCUGGCGCAGGGGUGUGAAAUCCCCGGGCGUAACCUGGGAACUGCACUUGUGACUGCACGGCUAGAGUACGGCAGAGGGGGAUGGAAUUCCGCGUGUAGCAGUGAAAUGCGUAGAUAUGCGGAGGAACACCGAUGGCGAAGGCAGUCCCCUGGGCCUGUACUGACGCUCAUGCACGAAAGCGUGGGGAGCAAACAGGAUUAGAUACCCGAGUAGUC
RNAcentral lists this ribosomal RNA (450 nucleotides) under uncultured bacterium. Its description in RNAcentral is "partial 16S ribosomal RNA". It matches the Rfam family "Bacterial small subunit ribosomal RNA", at positions 338 to 795 of the family's 1533-position model. The record is from RNAcentral.